UUUUUUUUUUUUUUUUUUUUUUUUUUUUGUUUAUAAAUUAAGUGCCAAUUCAUCUACGACGAAUUAGUAAAUCGCAAUAAUGUGCUCAUUCCUCGCGAUGUCAUUCGCUUUUGGCAUUAAUAGAUGUUCUUGGAUGGAUUGGUUAUAAAAACAAUUGAAAACUUUAUUAAAUUUCGAUGAAGAAAUUUCGCGUGUGUUACAACGAGAAAAUUUCGUUUCGUCUAAUCUCGCUGAAACGACGACGAAAUCUCUCUUCGUCGUACGUUGGAUGAGAGGAGGAAGGCAAAAGGAGGAAGAAAAGACGGUGGUGGUGGUGGUGGUGGUAGAUGAGGAGAAGAAGGUGGAGAAGUUGGAAGAGGAGCAAGUGGUGGAUAAGAAAGGUGGAGGUGGACAGGGUGGUGAAGAAAAAGGAGGGACGGAUUUUAUAUCUACGAGGUGUUCCUUCUUGUCGUGAUUACGUAACGGACGUUAGUGCUAAAUCGAAAGACAAGCGAGGAACGAUGAACUCCUCUUCGGAGGGGAGGCAAACUUUUGCGCGAGAUGUGUGCGAACGUAUAACUCUCUGCUCCUCGUGAUCUCGAGACGACGGAUAGAUAGAUAGAUAGAUAUAUAGAUAGAUGAUAGAUAGAUAGAAAGAUUAAUACAGGGUAGACUGAUAAAAAGUGUGAGAGAAAAGAAGAGAGCGUUUUUCAUAAAAAAAAAAAAAGAUACAUUGUAGUAUGGUAA
This is a long non-coding RNA of Vespa velutina, 726 nucleotides long. RefSeq lists it as uncharacterized. Lineage: Eukaryota; Metazoa; Arthropoda; Insecta; Hymenoptera; Vespidae. The record is from RefSeq and is a predicted model, not a curated record. The transcript has 3 exons.